CGAAGGGUGCAAGCGUUGUUCGGAAUUACUGGGCGUAAAGCGCGCGUAGGCGGCUUGAUAAGUUGGGAGUGAAAUCCCGGGGCUUAACUCCGGAAUUGCUUUCAAAACUGUUAAGCUAGAGUAUGGCAGGGGACAGUGGAAUUCCUAGUGUAGAGGUGAAAUUCGUAGAUAUUAGGAGGAACACCAGUGGCGAAAGCGACUGUCUGGACCAUUACUGACGCUGAGGCGCGAAAGCGUGGGGAGCAAACAGGAUUAGAUACCCUGGUAGUCCACGCUGUAAACGAUGGGUGCUAGAUAUUGGGGCUUAAGCCUCAGUGUCGUAGCUAACGCGUUAAGCACCCCGCCUGGGGAGUACGGUCGCAAGAUUA
Molecule: ribosomal RNA, 368 nt
Filed under: uncultured organism
Description: bacterial SSU rRNA
Rfam family: Bacterial small subunit ribosomal RNA
Source: RNAcentral